This 255-nucleotide ribosomal RNA is filed under the name uncultured bacterium. Its description in RNAcentral is "partial 16S ribosomal RNA". It matches the Rfam family "Bacterial small subunit ribosomal RNA", at positions 524 to 776 of the family's 1533-position model. The record is from RNAcentral.
UACGGAGGGUGCGAGCGUUGUCCGGAAUCAUUGGGCGUAAAGGGCGCGUAGGUGGCCCGGUCAGUCUUUGGUGAAAGCGCGGGGCUCAACCCUGCGUCGGCCAGGGAUACUGCCGCGGCUGGAGCACUGUAGAGGCAGGCGGAAUUCCGGGUGUAGCGGUGGAAUGCGUAGAGAUCCGGAAGAACACCGGUGGCGAAGGCGGCCUGCUGGGCAGUUUGCUGACACUGAGGCGCGACAGCGUGGGGAGCAAACAGG